RNAcentral lists this transfer RNA (88 nucleotides) under Propionispira arboris. RNAcentral describes it as "tRNA_Ser_CGA". It matches the Rfam family "tRNA". Rfam says of the family: Transfer RNA (tRNA) molecules are approximately 80 nucleotides in length. Lineage: Bacteria; Bacillati; Bacillota; Negativicutes; Selenomonadales; Selenomonadaceae. The record is from RNAcentral.
GGAGAGGUGUCCGAGUGGUCGAAGGUCUCUGACUCGAAAUCAGACGUACCGCAAGGUACCGUGGGUUCGAAUCCCACCCUCUCUGCCA